Molecule: non-coding RNA, 24 nt
Filed under: Drosophila melanogaster (fruit fly)
Lineage: Eukaryota; Metazoa; Arthropoda; Insecta; Diptera; Drosophilidae
Source: RNAcentral
CUCGCAAGAAAACUAAUCCGAGUA